Molecule: ribosomal RNA, 441 nt
Filed under: uncultured bacterium
Lineage: Bacteria
Description: partial 16S ribosomal RNA
Rfam family: Bacterial small subunit ribosomal RNA
Source: RNAcentral
CCUACGGGUGGCAGCAGUGGGGGAUAUUGCACAAUGGGGGGAACACUGAUGCAGCGACGCCGCGUGGGUGAAGGAGUGCUUCGGCAUGUUAAGCCCUAUCGGCCGGGAAGCAGCAAGACGGUCCCUGCCUAAGAAGCCCCGGCGAACGACGUGCCCGCAGCCGCGGUAAUACGGAGGGGGCGGGCGUUAUCCGGAUUCACUGGGUGUAAAGGGAGCGGAGACGGCAAUGCAAGCCAGGGGUGAAAGCCCGGGGCCCAAACCCCGGACUGCCGUUGAAACUGCAUGGCUGGAGGUCGAGAGGGGCAGGCGGAAUGCCUGGUGUAGCGGUGAAAUGCGUAGAUAUCAGGAGGAACUCCGGCGGCGAAGGCAGCAUGCUGGCCUGCGACUGACGUUGAGGCACGAAAGCGUGGGGAGCGAACAGGAUUAGAUACCCCGGUAGUC